GACGAACGCUGGCGGCGUGCUUAACACAUGCAAGUCGAACGGAAAGGCCCUGCUCUUGUGGGGUUCUCGAGUGGCGAACGGGUGAGUAUCACGUGAGUAACCUGUCCCUGACUUUGUGAUAACUCUAGGAAACUGGGGCGAUUAUCGGAUAGGAUCUCCUGCUCCACGGUGGUGGUAGGAGAGAGACGGUGGUUGUGGGUGGAAUCGCGGCUUAUGCGCUGCUUGGUCUGGUAGUGGCUUACCAAGGUUUCGACGGGUAGGCGGCCUGGGAGGGUGGACAGGCACAUUGGGCCUGAGGGACGGAGCAGAAUCCUACGGGCGGCAGCGGUGGGGAGUAUUGCACAAUGGGCGGAAGCCUGAUGCAGCGGCGCCGCGUGCGUGAUGACGGCCUUCGAGUUAUAAACAGCUUUCGCAUGUGACGAGGCGAGAGUGACGGUACUGAGUAAGAAAGCAACGGCUAACUACGUG
This 468-nucleotide ribosomal RNA is filed under the name uncultured bacterium. RNAcentral describes it as "partial 16S ribosomal RNA". It matches the Rfam family "Bacterial small subunit ribosomal RNA", at positions 28 to 507 of the family's 1533-position model. The record is from RNAcentral.